Molecule: long non-coding RNA, 565 nt
Organism: Oncorhynchus tshawytscha (Chinook salmon)
Lineage: Eukaryota; Metazoa; Chordata; Actinopteri; Salmoniformes; Salmonidae
Source: Ensembl
AGAGAACAUAAACGCUGGCUUGUCUUCAAUAAUGACUAAAUAAUAGUUCAAGCCAUUGGGAGAGUUUUAAGUUGAUUCUAUGCCAGACAUGCAGAUUUUGCAGAUCACAGCAUAACAUUUUAUCAAGUAAGUUCUAAUGUGAUAUAACUCCAGUACUCCAGGCUCUUAAUUUAGAGAAGAAGAAUAAUGAACCCAGAGAAUCAGACAGACAGACAGACAGACAGAUGAGGAGGCCUCCUCCCUCUCGUUGAGUCUCUCUCUCGUCCUGGGUUUAGUUUGAGUGGCAGGCUCUCACACGUUGAACAACCUUGCCACAUACAUAACUACAGCAUAGAAAUGACUCUGCUGUGACCCGAGCACAGGUUGAAAAGUUCACUGCACAGAAAUGACUCUGCUCUGACCCCAGCACAGGUUGAAAAGUUCACUGCACAGAAAUGACUCUGCUCUGACCCCAGCACAGGUUGAAAAGUUCACUGCACAGAAAUGACUCUGCUCUGACCCCAGCACAGGUUGAAAAGUUCACGCAUAGAAAUGAAAAAAAAAGAAAAACACAAAAGUUAUUCAA